RNAcentral lists this long non-coding RNA (1107 nucleotides) under Physcomitrium patens. RNAcentral describes it as "long non-coding RNA (PPAT_LNC006205)". Lineage: Eukaryota; Viridiplantae; Streptophyta; Bryopsida; Funariales; Funariaceae. The record is from RNAcentral.
UAUAAGUAAUGCAAGAAGAAUUACCAAGAAACAAGUACCAAUAAAUCAAAAGUGCAGGAUAUAAAAGAAUCCGAAUUCUCUCUGCGUACAUGUACACUAAUCAGAUAGCGCUCACAUCACACUCCUGCUUGUAAGUUAACAGUACUUUCCCUGGCAAGCAUUACAAUGCCAUGUAGCGCAUCUUAAACGAAUGAGAUAACAACAUAACCGGAACAAGAAGAAAAAACGGGGGGGGGGGGGUUGUAGAAAGGAGAAAGAACCUGAAAUAAAAACCCAAAUUAAUACAAACAAAUAGAUAGACAAUGUUCAUUAGGAGCAACGGUCCAGCUUAUGCUAUGCAAAACAAAAAAGCUUGAAGACAUUGUACUCACAAAAACGAGAGUAUAAAAGUAAGCUACUGAUGCGAUUGGAACAGCAAGAGCAGUAGUGCCUUCCUGAGUUGUAUGAAGUUGAUUCACACUAAUGCCUAUAAGUAGUAGUGUAAGAGCUUCCCACUGCAUCACAUAACUCAAAGAAUUAGAAGAUCAACCCUUUUGACGAUUCCUAUAAAUCAAUAUACCAUCACGUUCAAACUGAAUAAGAAGUCAAUAAUCUCAGAAUCGAGAGACAGCAUUGAGGAACCAGCCUGCAUGAUAGAGAAGCGGCGCUUCAUGAUUGCCUUCAGCAGAAGCGCGAUUACCAAAACCUGAGAAACAAAACACACCCUCAGAUACAGCUAUAGCACAAAUCAGAAACUCUCAUGUGUUGGAACGUAUAAUGUGAAACCCGGUGCAAUGUAUGCUUACUUAAAUGCAAUAAGAUUUCAGCCGUGAGAAGUAGAAUAAGUACAUCAGUUAGAUAAAGUUUGUGAACUGAAUCAAAUGCUCCAAUCACCUUACAGAUAGUAGCCACACAGAUAGUGCUCACCUUUAAAUUACUUAACAUCUUCACGGUUGCAGGGUUAAAGUAUAGCUACACAAUCCAAAGUGAACCGCGGCAUCAACGUCACAUUUCAGCUCUUAAUGAUUAACUGAAAAGCGGAAAAAGAUUGACCAGCUAGAGAUUCAUCUCAUAAGACAUGCCAACAGCUUUGCCAAGUUCUAGAUAUUUGAUGCAGGAAGAGAGAUG